RNAcentral lists this transfer RNA (77 nucleotides) under Chloroflexota bacterium. RNAcentral's name for it is "Chloroflexi bacterium tRNA-Val". It matches the Rfam family "tRNA". From Rfam's summary of the family: Transfer RNA (tRNA) molecules are approximately 80 nucleotides in length. Their secondary structure includes four short double-helical elements and three loops (D, anti-codon, and T loops). RNAcentral also lists the same sequence under 1 other name. The record is from RNAcentral. Lineage: Bacteria; Bacillati; Chloroflexota.
GGGCGGUUAGCUCAGCUGGCUAGAGCGUCUGGUUUACACCCAGAAGGCCGGGGGUUCAACUCCCUCACCGCCCACCA